GCCUGUAAUUCAGUGGUUGUCGUUUGUUUAUGUGUUACAUAUUUGUUUUUCGUUCAUUUUUUUACAUAAAUAAGGCCGUUAGUUUUCUCGUUUAAAUUGUUUUACAUUGUCUUAUGGGGGUCUAUUAUAGCUGACUAUGCGGUAUGGGCUUUGCUCAUUGUUGAAGGCCGUACGGUGACCUAUAGUUAUUAAUGUCUGUGUCAUUUUGGUCUUUUGUGGAUAGUUGUCUCAUUGGCAAUCAUACCACAUCUUCUUUUUUUAUAU
This 264-nucleotide long non-coding RNA is filed under the name Mytilus galloprovincialis (Mediterranean mussel). The record is from RNAcentral. Lineage: Eukaryota; Metazoa; Mollusca; Bivalvia; Mytilida; Mytilidae.